Molecule: ribosomal RNA, 253 nt
Filed under: uncultured bacterium
Lineage: Bacteria
Description: partial 16S ribosomal RNA
Rfam family: Bacterial small subunit ribosomal RNA
Source: RNAcentral
UACGGGGGGAGCAAGCGUUGUUCGGAUUUACUGGGCGUAAAGGGCGCGUAGGCGGCGCAACAAGUCACGUGUGAAAUCUCCGGGCUUAACCCGGAGCGGCCAAGUGAUACUGUCGUGCUAGAGUGCGGAAGGGGCUACUGGAAUUCUCGGUGUAGCGGUGAAAUGCGUAGAUAUCGAGAGGAACACCUGCGGCGAAGGCGGGUAGCUGGGCCGACACUGACGCUGAGGCGCGAAAGCCAGGGGAGCGAACAGG